Lolium rigidum is the source of this 703-nucleotide long non-coding RNA. RefSeq lists it as uncharacterized. The record is from RefSeq and is a predicted model, not a curated record. NCBI's taxonomy places the organism in Eukaryota, Viridiplantae, Streptophyta, Magnoliopsida, Poales, Poaceae. The transcript is spliced from 2 exons.
UUUGUCUUAGUAUGGUGGACUAAUAUAGAUACUUGGCAUGACCGGCAUGAAAGAUAUCCUUUAGGCUCUAGAGGGAAACAGGUCAUUGCUUUUCCACCAGUUGCAUUAAUAUGUUUGUCUACAAAUUUCUAUGUUCUUUGUCUUCCAAGUUCUAAUGUUCCAAUUAGCUGAUGUAUGAACCUAGCUUGUAAAAACAAGUCCGUACAUUUUAAGCUCAUUUUCACAAUUGGCAACGAAAAAUCAACAGAACAGCCAAUCAAGGUGCCAAGAAAAUGAACAAUGACCAAUCAAGGUGCCGAGAAAAUCAACAGAACAGCCAAUCAAGGAGCUAUUAGUAGUGUGCGGAAUUGAGAUGCAUGCCACUAAGAGGGUGAUCAAUCUUCUCGUUCUGCCAAGCCUCCACAAGAGCCACCAAACAAUAUCCUCUUCAUCCAGAACUAUCCUGGUCUUUAUGGCGAGGCAUGAUCGGAAUUUGCUAUGAUCAUUUUCUCCGGUGUUUACUUUAGUUAGUUUAUAAUGUUUCGAACUAGAGUUUAGUUCUACAAGUGUUUACUUAAGUUCGUUAUUUUGUUUGAUUGAGAAGUCUGGCGUGUUAGACUCUUUAUCUUGUUUGAUUCAAAAUACUCUCUAUGCUACUUUUAAAAUAGUUCAAUUGCACUCUGAAACUCAGCCGUUGGCUAGACAAAAGAAAUUGCUGACUCUA